This 532-nucleotide unclassified non-coding RNA is filed under the name Hevea brasiliensis (rubber tree). Lineage: Eukaryota; Viridiplantae; Streptophyta; Magnoliopsida; Malpighiales; Euphorbiaceae. The record is from RNAcentral.
GAAUAAGUAAUACAAAUAGUAAAACAAAUUUCAAUAAUCUAGAGUAGGAGUUCUUAAUCCAAAAAGUACAAUAUAUUGGGAGUAGAAGAAAUACAUCAGCACCUCCUUUGAUCUUACACAAACAUCGUACAAGUAAAAACUAAAGUUUAAGCCCUUUCUGUCUUUAACAUGUCAAAUGAUGAUGAAAAAUGGCAAUCUCAUUGGCGAUGACAAUUAAUCCCCGUGAAUUGUAUAUCGCUCCCACUUCUUUGUUGGGUCAUAUAUCUCCCACCGUGAAGCUGGAAAGAUAUGCUUGUUCUUUUCAUACCAAUGCCUCUCUACAACUUUUCCAGCAUGUGACUCAUCUUUCUCAAUAGUAGCAUCAGCAAUGGUCCGCACAUCUUCAUGGACAUCAAAGUGAAAAAGCGGUCCACUCUUUCCUCUGGCUUUGUUUAUAAUCAACUCAUAGAAACUGUGUUGAUGAGGAAUGAUUAGAUCUUCCUUCACAUAAAGAAGAUUCUCCACUGAAGUAGUUCGAACCUCCCGAAACUCA